Molecule: ribosomal RNA, 262 nt
Filed under: uncultured bacterium
Lineage: Bacteria
Description: partial small subunit ribosomal RNA
Rfam family: Bacterial small subunit ribosomal RNA
Source: RNAcentral
AGGACGAACGCUGGCGGCGUGCUUAACACAUGCAAGUCGAACGGAAAGGCCCGCUUGCGGGUACUCGAGUGGCGAACGGGUGAGUAACACGUGGGCAACCUGCCCUCAGCUCUGGGAUAACUCCGGGAAACCGGUGCUAAUACUGGAUAUCGACUUCUGCUCGCAUGGGUGGUUGUUGAAAGUUUUUCGGCUGGGGAUGGGCCCGCGGCCUAUCAGCUUGUUGGUGGGGUGAUGGCCUACCAAGGCGACGACGGGUAGCCGG